RNAcentral lists this ribosomal RNA (253 nucleotides) under uncultured bacterium. Its description in RNAcentral is "partial 16S ribosomal RNA". It matches the Rfam family "Bacterial small subunit ribosomal RNA", at positions 524 to 776 of the family's 1533-position model. The record is from RNAcentral.
UACAGAGGCCUCGAGCGUUAGGCGGAAUCACUGGGCUUAAAGCGUGUGUAGGUGGAUGCCUAAGUACCUUGUGAAAUCCCACGGCUUAACCGUGGAAUUGCUUGGUAUACUGGGCGUCUUGAGCCACUCAGGGGCGAGCGGAACAAAUGGUGGAGCGGUGAAAUGCGUAGAUAUCAUUUGGAACGCCAAUGGUGAAAACAGGUAGCUGGGGAUGUGCUGACGCUGAGACACGAAAGCCAGGGGAGCGAACGGG